GGAGAGAUGCCUGAGAGGUCGAAAGGGGCGGUCUCGAAAACCGUUGAGGGUUUUGCCCUCCGAGGGUUCGAAUCCCUCUCUCUCCG
This 86-nucleotide transfer RNA is filed under the name Spirochaetota bacterium. Its description in RNAcentral is "Spirochaetes bacterium (sediment metagenome) tRNA-Ser". It matches the Rfam family "tRNA". From Rfam's summary of the family: Transfer RNA (tRNA) molecules are approximately 80 nucleotides in length. Their secondary structure includes four short double-helical elements and three loops (D, anti-codon, and T loops). Further hydrogen bonds mediate the characteristic L-shaped molecular structure. tRNAs have two regions of fundamental functional importance: the anti-codon, which is responsible for specific mRNA codon recognition, and the 3' end, to which the tRNAs corresponding amino acid is attached (by aminoacyl-tRNA synthetases). tRNAs cope with the degeneracy of the genetic code in two manners: having more than one tRNA (with a specific anti-codon) for a particular amino acid; and 'wobble' base-pairing, i.e. permitting non-standard base-pairing at the 3rd anti-codon position. Lineage: Bacteria; Pseudomonadati; Spirochaetota. The record is from RNAcentral.